Molecule: long non-coding RNA, 155 nt
Organism: Perognathus longimembris pacificus (Pacific pocket mouse)
Lineage: Eukaryota; Metazoa; Chordata; Mammalia; Rodentia; Heteromyidae
Exons: 3
Source: RefSeq, a predicted model, not a curated record
AUGGAGUCAAAAGGUACCUAAGUAUAUGAUUGCCAAUGGAAAAAUAGGGGACAGAAAUCAGAUAUUGGCAGUUUUUCCAAUUUCAUUUGUGUGGGAAUUUUAAAUAUAACUGUGAGGGGCUGGGAAUAUGGCCUAGUGGCAAGAGUGUUCGCCUC